Long non-coding RNA from Lolium perenne, 162 nucleotides. RefSeq lists it as uncharacterized. Lineage: Eukaryota; Viridiplantae; Streptophyta; Magnoliopsida; Poales; Poaceae. The record is from RefSeq and is a predicted model, not a curated record.
AAUUGUUGAACCUGUUCCUCAAUUGGGCAGCUCGUCGACUCUGCUCUUAGAUGAUCCUAUGAUCAAAGAGCUUCUCCGCAUCGGAUCCCAAUUUAUUGGGUAUCGUGAGUAUGCUAGCAGAGCCGAAGAGAAACUUGCAGAGGCCAACAAACGUGCCGACGC